ACACUCCUGCGGGAGGCAGCAGUGGGGAAUUUUGGACAAUGGGCGAAAGCCUGAUCCAGCAAUGCCGCGUGAGUGAAGAAGGCCUUCGGGUUGUAAAGCUCUUUUGUCAGGGAAGAAACGGUGAAAGCUAAUAUCUUUUGCUAAUGACGGUACCUGAAGAAUAAGCACCGGCUAACUACGUGCCAGCAGCCGCGGUAAUACGUAGGGUGCAAGCGUUAAUCGGACUUACUGGGCGUAAAGCGUGCGCAGGCGGUUUUGUAAGUCUGAUGUGAAAUCCCCGGGCUCAACCUGGGAAUUGCAUUGGAGACUGCAAGGCUAGAAUCUGGCAGAGGGGGGUAGAAUUCCACGUGUAGCAGUGAAAUGCGUAGAUAUGUGGAGGAACACCGAUGGCGAAGGCAGCCCCCUGGGUCAAGAUUGACGCUCAUGCACGAAAGCGUGGGGAGCAAACAGGAUUAGAAACCCGUGUAGUCCCAU
RNAcentral lists this ribosomal RNA (474 nucleotides) under uncultured organism. Its description in RNAcentral is "partial 16S ribosomal RNA". It matches the Rfam family "Bacterial small subunit ribosomal RNA", at positions 333 to 798 of the family's 1533-position model. The record is from RNAcentral.